GGGAGGGAGGAGGGGGACACGGAGACAACUUAAUACAACUUGAGAGGAGGUGGCCCGGCUGGCGAGGUCCCGCGCUGGCCUCCGGCAUCCUCAGGGCAGCGUGGCAGUGCGGGUCUGACGGCGGUGGCGGUGGCGGUGGCAUUGGCGUU
RNAcentral lists this long non-coding RNA (149 nucleotides) under Fukomys damarensis (Damara mole-rat). Its description in RNAcentral is "lncRNA (ENSFDAG00000031445.1)". The record is from RNAcentral. Lineage: Eukaryota; Metazoa; Chordata; Mammalia; Rodentia; Bathyergidae.